RNAcentral lists this ribosomal RNA (716 nucleotides) under uncultured Staphylococcus sp. Its description in RNAcentral is "bacterial SSU rRNA". It matches the Rfam family "Bacterial small subunit ribosomal RNA", at positions 62 to 760 of the family's 1533-position model. Lineage: Bacteria; Bacillati; Bacillota; Bacilli; Caryophanales; Staphylococcaceae. The record is from RNAcentral.
UCGAGCGAACGGACGAGAAGCUUGCUUCUCUGAUGUUAACGGCGGACGGGUGAGUAACACGUGGAUAACCUACCUAUAAGACUGGGAUAACUUCGGGAAACCGGAGCUAAUACCGGAUAAUAUUUUGAACCGCAUGGUUCAAAGGUGAAAGACGGUCUUGCUGUCACUUAUAGAUGGAUCCGCGCUGCAUUAGCUAGUUGGUAAGGUAACGGCUUACCAAGGCAACGAUGCAUAGCCGACCUGAGAGGGUGAUCGGCCACACUGGAACUGAGACACGGUCCAGACUCCUACGGGAGGCAGCAGUAGGGAAUCUUCCGCAAUGGGCGAAAGCCUGACGGAGCAACGCCGCGUGAGUGAUGAAGGUCUUCGGAUCGUAAAACUCUGUUAUUAGGGAAGAACAUAUGUGUAAGUAACUGUGCACAUCUUGACGGUACCUAAUCAGAAAGCCACGGCUAACUACGUGCCAGCAGCCGCGGUAAUACGUAGGUGGCAAGCGUUAUCCGGAAUUAUUGGGCGUAAAGCGCGCGUAGGCGGUUUUUUAAGUCUGGUGUGAAAGCCCACGGCUCAACCGUGGAGGGUCAUUGGAAACUGGAAAACUUGAGUGCAGAAGAGGAAAGUGGAAUUCCAUGUGUAGCGGUGAAAUGCGCAGAGAUAUGGAGGAACACCAGUGGCGAAGGCGACUUUCUGGUCUGUAACUGACGCUGAUGUGCGAAAGC